This 5950-nucleotide long non-coding RNA is filed under the name Podarcis lilfordi (Lilford's wall lizard). Lineage: Eukaryota; Metazoa; Chordata; Lepidosauria; Squamata; Lacertidae. The record is from RNAcentral.
GCUACAGCUGAGGGGGAGGCAGCGGGCAGAACGUUUGGGCAGCGCAGAGCCUACGUGCACUUGAGCCACCGCGUCUCUCCCAGGAGAAAUGCGUGGCUCGGGCACACUGCAGGCCCCGCGGUGAGUACCACCUGGCAUUUUGUCACCCCCUCAUUGGUGACACCCGAGGUGGCCCACCCCCCUUCCUCCGCCCCUGUAGAGAGGCAUUUGCGAAUGCUCAAAGCCUUUUGCUUUUAUUGUAGAAAGCCACAUGCAAGCUUGAUUUGAGAGGGUUCACCCUCUAGAAGAAGGGAAACCCAGCCAGAUGGAUGGGUAGAAAUAAAUUAUUAUUAUUAUUAUUGAAGAUAUGAAGUUAUUAUAAAAAGACUGGCUUUGUGACUGUUCGGGGUGCACUUCCCUCAUCCCUACAAAACUGCAGCCCAUCCCCAGAUUUCUGGGAUUAGCAACAAGUCUUGGUCAGAAAGAAAACUCCCUAGAUCUGACCUGAGUUCCAGCAUCUUUCUUAUUUCCCAUCCCAUUUUAGGGAUGGAUACAGCUGCCAAUUUUUGCUCUCUGAGUUUCUCUAUUUUCUAAUAUUAAAUUCAGCUCUCCACACUUCUGCAGCAAUUUCUUGGGGGGGGGGAUUAAACCCUCAUGAAAAUGCAUGAAAAUUCUUUUAGCGUUUUAGUGUGAAUAAUAAACACAUUUUUUUGCUGUUUUGACCAAUGUACACCUUUUUGCAAGCAAUUUAUCCUAAUAUAGUGCUUUUUGUAUAUUUUCAUGAAUACAUUCAUUCUGAUGCACACGUUUACCUAAUACAUGCAUUUUUGCAAUCCUUCUUUGGUUGGCAUCCCAAGCGCAUCCCAACAUUCAGAUAGUUGUGAAUUUCAAAUGAUGGUUGUGUUUCCAUUCUCAUCUUGUUUUGGAAAGUGAAAAUUUGAUACAUCUGCCUUUAAAUGAGAACUGAACCGAGUUUCUUCCCAUCCUGACUCUGUGCUAUGCAAAGUUACAAACAACCUGACUUUCAUAUCUUGAAAAUAUGCCAGGGUGCAAAUUUAAGCCACAGCACAGGCUGCAGGUAGGACAAGGUAUUCUUCGGGUUUACGGUAAAAGUCUCCUGCUAGCCCCUCAGAGUCCCAUUGUGGCAGCCUGGCUGUCCUAUUCCAGCACAGACCCUCCCAAUCAUGUCAGGCUCACUGGCCUUCUGAUGCUUUUCCUGGGCUUGGAAUAAAAACAAAAGUAGAAGAAAGUCCCUCCCCCUCUUUUUUAGACCCCAAUUACUUUCUCAAACUGCUGAAGAAAACUAAAGCAGUGGCUAGAAAGCAAGAAGAGAGUUUUAUAGCAUGGAAAAGCCCUGAGCAGGGACUAUUUCAGUGUUAUUCCAACCAAAGUGUAUGGGGGAGUAAGGGGAGAGAUUGACAAUGAAAACAAACAAGGCAAGCAUUACAUAUUUCCCUAGGCUUCGAAGCAGAGGAGAAGCCUACCAACUGGCUCCCACACACACGCAAUUCCAUGAAGCGCUCUUUCUUGUAGGAUGGCCAGGAGGACUGGCUCCUGCUUAAUUGCGCGUCAUCAUUACACUGCAAGAGCUCACUGAGAUGGGAAGUUUGAUUAUUGGUUUUUAAUUCUGAUGCAGUUUUUCAUCCUGAUGGCUCUUUUGCAUGACAUUAAAUUACCUUGCUGCAAAUUAAAUACAAUAAAAUUGCUAAUAAGCCCAUUGGAAUAUGCUGACAGUGUGAUAUCUGGUUGCUGGAGAACGCUACCCCCCUCCAGUGCUUCUUUACACUAAACCUGCAUGAUGUCCAAAUCAAUCCAGAUGCCUAUCCCAUUCCUUAAAAAAUAGAAAAGUCUUGCGCAUGCACGCAUGCACACACACACACACUGCAACCAGAUCAUCCACCAUUUAUGCACGACCACUCCAUACAGACUUGGUGUGUGUGACACAGAAAAUCCAUAUUUACAAACUUUUAUACUGAUUUUAGAUCAGCUUGCCUUGUCAUUGUUCCCCUAAAGAACCCUAAGAAUUCUUGUUUGGAAAAGUUGCUGAUGUGAGUGUUCUCUGUGAGAGUUUUCUUUACACUUCAUCAAACUAAUUGAAAUGGAGAGGAAAACCACCCCACGCAGGCCAAUGAGGCUUGAGCAUGCUUAGUGGGUAUGCAACACUGACUGACGAGGAGGGAGAAUGGGCAAAUACAUCCGUUUCUCUCAGUUUCUCAUUUUUCCAAUGAUAAAAUCAGUUCUCAGCAUUGCUAUAUUUAUUUAUUUAUUUUUAAAGUGCUCAUGGAAAUUCAUCACCAUUUUUGUAUGGCUUUCUUCUAUGGUACACAUGUUUAUAUGCAAUUUUGCCUAAUACUGUAUACACAUUUUUGCACAUUUCCCUAUUAUAAGUCAUUUUCUAUAGUAUCUAUAUUUCUAUAUUUUCUACAUUUUGAUAUUAUCUUCACUAAUAUAUGCACACUUUACCAUAGUAUAUGAUUUUUAUGGUACAUAUUACUUCACUGGCGAACUGCUUUGCAAAAUUUGGAUAAGCGCAAAUUUCAAAAGAUGUUAUGUUUUGGUUUGUUUCAGAACAAAUAAUAGUAAUAGUAAUAAUGCUGGUGAAAGAACAAUAUAUUCUACUGCACUUGAGGGGAGCAGGCAAACUUAGGGGUGUCAGGGCAAGCCAUAUGGCACUCACAGAUCUGUCCCCUCCCUGGACCUCAACAUUUGUUGCCUGAGGCUGCUGCCUCACUCUGUCUCAUUAUAGGGCCAGCCUUGAUUCACAUGUUUCAAGACUAGGCCCUAGCCUUGAAAUAUAUUGUUUUUAAUUUCCCAUAGCUUUGUAUCUCUUAGCCACAAAUAAGAGCAGUUUUGUAAAAUGACCUUCAGAAGAUAUGCCUAUAAUUGUUGCCUCCUCUGCUUUUUAGUCACACAUAUUGACUGUGGGCUAACAACACUUAGCAAUUUCUUAGCUAUUGAAAAAGAUAAUGAACUUGGAGUGUAAAAACGGGGCCUUCAGCUUAACUCAGGAAGCAGGGAGUCUCAGUGGUAACAGGGGGACUGCAAUAUGUGCCUUUUUCCCUUCUGUCAAGACAAGCUAAUUGGAAAACAAUCAUUUUUGUAUUGGCAAAGAGUCCCUAUCUGCAACAGCCAGAGAUAUAAUCCUCUUAUGUAACAGGUCAAAUAAUAAUAUAUCUUCAAGGUGCUUUUAACUUCAUUUGUAAAAUUCCCCUUCACAAAUGACAUUUUAAUUGCAUUAUUAGAUGCAGGUCUUAGGAACUUAAGUCCAAACCACAUGUCGUUAAUAUUCCUAAAAUAACUGAGAAUAGGGGAAUGGAAGUCCUAACAAAUAUUUUGUUGAGCAUCUUUGCUGCGCAAAUGGCAAUAUUUUCAAUGUUAGUCUAAACAACAGGGUAAGAAAAACUACUCAGAGAAGUUGUUUAUACACUAUGGCUACAGACCAUUUUUUUGGUUAAGAAUACAGUGGUACCUCAGGUUACAUACACUUCAGGUUACAUAUGCUUUAGGUUACAGACACUGCUGACCUAGAAAUAGUACCUUGGGUUAAGAACUUUGCUUCAGGAUGAGAACAGAAAUCGUGCUUCGGUGGCACGGCAGCAGCAGGAGGCCCCGUUAGCUAAAGUGGUGCUUCAGGUUAAGAACAGUUUCAGGUUAAGAACGGACCUCCGGAAUGAAUUAAGUACUUAACCUGAGGUACCACUGUACUUAGACUCACUGAAAUUAGUGGAGUUAAAGUUGCAGCCCCAAGGACCCUUACUGGAAAGAAAAAUUCACUGAACACAGUAGGACUUACUUCGGAGGCACCGUGAAAAACUGUAAAUAUGAGUAACUCUAUGCUGGAUUUGUGUGGCCUGUGUGUUUUGACUUUUUUUGUAAGCUAUUACAGGUGCUCAGGUUUACCUAACUCUUGCAUAUCCAAAUAUGCACAGGUGCCAGUGGGGAAUUUCCCCCAAAGCAAAUACCAGAUUUAGAAGUCUAAUUUCCCUCAGGACUCCAGCAGGUUGAAUCCCCCCUCCACACCUGCUCUGCUCCCAUGCCACCCAAAGCAAAAAUUACUGUCCUAUUGUCAGCAUCAUUCUGUAUAAUGGGAGUGGCUCAAGGCCCAACUACUGUGGGGUACUGAGCCGCUCCCAUUAUACAGAAUGAUGCCGACAAUAGGACAGUAAUUUUUGCUUUAUCCCAAUUUUGCAGCUGAUUUCAUGUGAGCUUCUUGCACUUUGGAUGUGGCAGCAGUCCUUCUGACGAUAUAUUGUUAAUCUGCUCUGUCCUGAACCUCAUGAGCUGUGAACGACUUAAAAAGGAAAAUUGUGGGAUUAUCUUGAGAUCGCACUCAAUUACUCUGGCUCAUGUUGCUAACUGAAAACAGUUUACAAACUUGUGAAAUUUCUUAAUUUUUCUAAAACUGUUCUUGUAAGGAACUUUUGGCUAGCAUAAAGUGUUAGCUAGUGGCUGACCUAAACUGCAGCAGUUCAGAUGCAGUUUCUAACUCAAGUGAUAGUUUGUUUCAGGCAGAGCUUUGUAAUUAUUACUUGAAAAUGUUGUUUUCUGCUAUUAAUGGCUGUGUUUUGCCAUAUGCCCCACUAUUUGCUGCCAGCCAUUAUUCAUAGAUAGAACCUGGAAAUAAAUCUUGUCGAGUACAGUGUAGUUGGCAGGACAAGCUGGGAGCACCAGAGGAAGCCAGUUUAACAGAAGGACUUGGCUUUAAGUCAGUCUCUGCUCUAGCCCUAAGAUGUGCUGUUCCAGCGCAAAAAGUGCUUAGGAUAUGAGCAUCCAUGCUGUAAUAUGCAGAGGCUUUCCUUACAUUGUUUUUACAUUUCAUAUCUAUAAUCCAGAGCCCUGGAAAUGUUUUUAAAGUUGAAGGGGAACAUAAUGACUGUUGCCUACAUAUCACGUGCAUUAUUACAUCUUUAUUUAAUAAGCGACUAACAAAACUAUAAGCCAUUGCGUUCAAUAUUUUUAAUAAUAUUUUUAUUUGCUUUUCUGUUAUAUCUUGCCAUCAAUAUGUACUCUGUUACAUUCGUGCUUAAAACAAAAAUAAAGGCGAUAACCUAAAUAUAAAACAUGAGCAUAUACAGUGGUACCUUGGGUUAAGAACUUAAUUUGUUCUGGAGGUCCGUUCUUAACCUGAAACUGUUCUUAACCUGAGGUACCACUUUAGCUAAUGGGGCCUCCUGCUGCCACUGUGCUGCCGCUGCGUGAUUUCUGUUCUCAUCCUGAAGCAAGUUCUUAACCCGAGGUACUAUUUCUGGGUUAGAGGAGUCUGUAACCCGAAGUGUCUGUAACCUGAAGUGCCUGUAAACCGAGGUACCACUGUAAUAAUAAUGGUAACAUAUCCACAUUCCUCCAAGUUGUUUAAUUCCUAUAUGUCUUUACUUUUACUUCCCUUCUACUCUUUCCAUGAUUUCCUGUCUCCUAUCCUUUUUAACUGUGUUUUCUUAUUCUUCUACAUUAUUCUCAUUACCUUACAUAGUCUCAUGUUGUAACAUAUACUGCUGAGUGUUUGUUCAACCUGUUAUGAUAAUUUCCUUGUUAUAAUAUUUUUCCAUAUAAUAUCCAGUCCUCUUUCAGUCUCUUAUCAUCUUUAUCUCUUAAUCUAUUUGUCAUACUGGCUAGUUCUAUUGCUUUCAAUAUUGUCAACAUGAGUUUAGCAUAAUCUUAUGUACACUGAAAUAACUAGUAAUUCUUCAUGAUGAUAAUUGUAGAACAUUUAGAGAGCAUCACUUGGCUUUGACUUCAACAAUGGUCUUUUCUUCUUCUUUUUCAGAUCAGCUGUGGGGUGAGGUCACACAGCCCCGCCCCCAGCAACUAGGGCAGUGCUACCUCGUUGCAUCCCAACUUUUGGAGCCUAUGGGUGCCUUCCCAGUCAUUGAUUUGCAGGAGGGAUUCAAGCACACACCAGAACUUUGGGUUUGCACAUUUAAAGUGGAUUAAAGGGCUCUAUAAGCCUAGCCAAUAAAUCCACUUUUAUAAC